UACGGAGGAUGCGAGCGUUAUCCGGAUUUAUUGGGUUUAAAGGGUGCGCAGGCGGAUUUUUAAGUCAGCGGUAAAAAUUCGGGGCUCAACCCCGUCGUGCCGUUGAAACUGAUGUUCUUGAGUACAGUAGAGGUGGGCGGAAUUCGUGGUGUAGCGGUGAAAUGCUUAGAUAUCACGAAGAACUCCGAUUGCGAAGGCAGCUCACUGGACUGCAACUGACACUGAGGCUCGAAAGUGUGGGUAUCAAACAGG
This 252-nucleotide ribosomal RNA is filed under the name uncultured Bacteroides sp. RNAcentral describes it as "partial 16S ribosomal RNA". It matches the Rfam family "Bacterial small subunit ribosomal RNA", at positions 524 to 776 of the family's 1533-position model. The record is from RNAcentral. Lineage: Bacteria; Pseudomonadati; Bacteroidota; Bacteroidia; Bacteroidales; Bacteroidaceae.